GUUUUAAGUACAUAUUAAUAAUGAUAAUAUGUAUAAAAGUCUUGACCAAUUACGUGCCAGCAGUCGCGGUAAUACGUAGGAGACGAGCAUUAUUCAUUUUAAAUAGGUUUAAAGGGUACCCAAACGGUCAAUAUAUCUUAAAUAAGAAGCACUUGACUAGAGUUAUAUGUAAGAAGACCGUACUUGAGGUGGAGAGAUUAUAUCCAAUGAUACCAAAGGGACUGGUGACGGCGAAGGCUGUCUUUUAUGUAAUAACUGACGUUGGAGGACGAAGGUUUAGAGCACUAACAGGAUUUGACACCCUAGUAGUCUUUACAGACAAUGAUGAAUGCCAUCAACUAGAUAAUAAUUUAGUUUUUAUAAAUGAAAAUGAAAGCAUUUCACCUCAAGAGUAAUGUGGCAACGC
This 406-nucleotide ribosomal RNA is filed under the name Colletotrichum sp. BMT10(T2). RNAcentral describes it as "SSU rRNA". It matches the Rfam family "Bacterial small subunit ribosomal RNA", at positions 450 to 894 of the family's 1533-position model. The record is from RNAcentral. Lineage: Eukaryota; Fungi; Ascomycota; Sordariomycetes; Glomerellales; Glomerellaceae.